CUGAGGCAUGCACUCUCGGCCUAAAUGCUGCAGAACGAUUUUCUAAAAGAAGAACGAUCCUUUCUCUGACAUUAAAGUGCAUUUCCAUGUGACUUGGUAGGAGAUGACUACUGCCUGGUUUGCUCUUGCUGGAAAAUCCUUCUUCUCUGUAACACAGGCUGCACUUGGGUUAUGUGAUUGAAGACUUAUCUCUCUGAACACCGAGGAGAACAGAGCAACAAUAGGAAGUGGGGAAACUCCAGUAACGUACCCAGGGAAAAGGAGACUCUGCCCAACGCCUCCCAGAAAGUGACCUGUCCGUGGAUGGUGUGACAUUCAUCAUCAGUCAGUGGGAGAGGCCCACUGAACUGUGUGACUUACUGCCUAGAGGGGUAUGGGACUCACAGGAUGAGAGCACCUUUGGGAUUGCACAUGACUUACUGGAGUAUGUGUGGAGAAGGAAAUCAAAGACAGGGAAUGAGGGAGAUAAAGGUGGUUUUGUGAGUCAGAAGUAUGGAAAAAUAAAAGGAUAAGGGGUUAAAAUGGUCUGGCUGGU
Lagopus leucura (white-tailed ptarmigan) is the source of this 535-nucleotide long non-coding RNA. RefSeq lists it as uncharacterized. Lineage: Eukaryota; Metazoa; Chordata; Aves; Galliformes; Phasianidae. The record is from RefSeq and is a predicted model, not a curated record. The transcript has 3 exons.